CCUACGGGAGGCUGCAGUGGGGAAUAUUGGACAAUGGGGGGAACCCUGAUCCAGCCAUGCCGCGUGUGUGAAGAAGGCCCUCGGGUUGUAAAGCACUUUCAGUGAGGAAGAACGCCUGGUGGUUAAUACCCAUCAGGAAAGACAUCACUCACAGAAGAAGCACCGGCUAACUCCGUGCCAGCAGCCGCGGUAAUACGGAGGGUGCGAGCGUUAAUCGGAAUUACUGGGCGUAAAGCGCGCGUAGGUGGCUUGAUAAGCCGGUUGUGAAAGCCCCGGGCUCAACCUGGGAACGGCAGCCGGAACUGUCAAGCUGGAGUGCAGGAGAGGAAGGUAGAAUUCCCGGUGUAGCGGUGAAAUGCGUAGAGAUCGGGAGGAAUACCAGUGGCGAAGGCGGCCUUCUGGACUGACACUGACACUGAGGUGCGAAAGCGUGGGUAGCAAACAGGAUUAGAUACCCCAGUAGUC
RNAcentral lists this ribosomal RNA (465 nucleotides) under Vreelandella stevensii. Its description in RNAcentral is "partial 16S ribosomal RNA". It matches the Rfam family "Bacterial small subunit ribosomal RNA", at positions 338 to 795 of the family's 1533-position model. Lineage: Bacteria; Pseudomonadati; Pseudomonadota; Gammaproteobacteria; Oceanospirillales; Halomonadaceae. The record is from RNAcentral.